This 30-nucleotide non-coding RNA is filed under the name Homo sapiens (human). Lineage: Eukaryota; Metazoa; Chordata; Mammalia; Primates; Hominidae. The record is from RNAcentral.
UNCCUAUCUGAUACUGAGGAUGUAGAAUGC